Lemur catta (Ring-tailed lemur) is the source of this 1900-nucleotide long non-coding RNA. RefSeq lists it as uncharacterized. The record is from RefSeq and is a predicted model, not a curated record. The transcript has 2 exons. Lineage: Eukaryota; Metazoa; Chordata; Mammalia; Primates; Lemuridae.
UGAAGGCGGCGCCCGCCUGCCGUGAGGACGGUCGCGCUGUGACUCGGGCGGAGCUGGUUGGAGGGCGGCACCCAGGAGCUCGGGUUCCAGUUGCCCCAACACACGCUGCCGUGAGCGCUGACAGUGGGUUUCUCGGGAAGGAGAAGGAGCAGUUCCUAGGUUGUUUACCAACAAUUUGCAUCAAAAUAACAUAAGCUAUUGAUUGGCUCUGCUUUGUUCUUUGGAACAGAAAUUCUAGGAAUUUGGAGAUAAUGGGAGAGGUGGCCGGUCAGGAACACAGUCCUUUAAACAGUCGCCCCGCCGGGGCCUGGCCGCAGGAGCGGGUGUGGCUGUGAGCGAGUCCCCGGUUCCCGUUUCUGGGCCGGAUGGGUUUUGCAUAUUCACAGCUGAGACUGCUCUGCGCUAUUUUUCUUCUCAGAAAGCAGAGAGAUUUCUUGAAAAUAAUUUCUUAGCGGAAGAUGUCUUAAAUAGGAUGCAAAGUCCUGAAACCACUGGUUGAAGUAACGCUUUUUGAGUGCCCACAGCAUGCCCAGCAGGUCAGGGCUGCAGCUGAAAUUUUCCUGUGUAAUGGAAAAAGGGAGGGGUGAGGAAAUAGAUGCUUAUGCACUGACCUUGGUGGUAAAUGCUGUCAGAAAAAGCUGGAAGUGGGAUGGGGACACUGUUCAUAUAGGCCUCUGGGUGAAAGGGUGGGGAACAUCUUAAGAUACCAAAAGGGGCUGGGUGCAGUGGUGGCGCAUGCCUGUAGUCCCAGCUACUCGGGAGGCUGAGGCAGGAGGAUCGCUUGAGCCCAGGAGUUUGAGGAUGCCGUGAGCUAUAAUGAUAUUGUUUACAAAGCACCAAGAACAUCAGUCUAACAAUUAACAUGCAAGACCUCUACACAGAACUACAAAUCAUGGCUAAGAGAAAGUAGUGACAUUUAAAUAAAUGGGGGAACAUACCAGGUUCAUGGACCGCAGACUCACUAUUAUAAAGACAUCAGAGAUCUCCAAAUGCAUCUACAGAUUCAAUGCAAUCCCAAUCAAAAUCCCAAACAGUUUUUAAGGAAAUUGACAAGCUGAUUCUAAAAUUUACAUGGAAAAACAAAGGGCCACGAGGAGCCUGGAGAAGCCUGAAGACCGAGACAGUUGGAAGCUGGACCCUGGCUUGGAGAACCGUGUGGCAGGCUCUGCCGGAGCUGGGCACACGUGGCCUGUGACUCAGCAUUCUCUUAGGAUGUGCCCAACGGAAAGGCACAUGUGUGUUCACACACACACGUGUAGGAGAGAAGUUAUAGCAGUUAUUCAUCACAGCCUGUGAAAGCUGAUUCAAAACAGAGUCACUCGUGUCAAACCCUGGCAAGUCAGAGCCGGGAGGGCCAUGGUGGGGUCCUCACACCAUUUGUCUGAUAACAGGUACUGCUACAUGGAAGGUUUCCAGACUGCAGCUCGCUGUGUGUCAUGCAAGGACAGUGGGUGCUUAUGGAGAAACACCUGCCUGGCACCCCGCUGCACAGCCCAGUCCAAAACUGCAGGGCCCCGUGGUCAUCUGAGGAGUCUUCAGACAAAAACCACCCGAAUGCCCAGCAGCAGGAGAGUGGACACCAGCCGGUAUUUGACAGCGGCACGCUCUCAGCCACACGGACGGACACACCACGGUGGAUCCCCCAACACAGCGUUUAGGGAGAGCAGCCGGACUGACAGUCACGACUGAUUCCACAGAUGUGCAACGCAGAUUGGGUCGAGGGACACUGUGCCAGGGGAUGACCCCAAGACAGCACGGGGUGUUCUGGGGCCUGGUGACCGUCGCUGUCUGGACCUGAAUGGUGGUGUUGAAUCAUUGGUGUGUUCCCUUUUGGAGUAUUCUAUGUUUUUACUUCAAUAAGUUCAUUAAAGCAGUGGUCCCCGACCUUUUUGGCACCAAG